AUGCCAAGGGCGUGGAGUGGGGGGUUCACAUGCAGAUGCAUAUCAUCAGCAACCACUGAGACCUCGUUCAACCUCAAGAUGCUAGCGUCCUGCCUCCAUUUCAAGUUGUUCGCCACGGUCGCUGCCUCAUGUCAGGUAUUGCGCGCAGGUAAUAUGGUGAGGACACAAAUUUGGGUGUCCAGCUCCUUGCCUGCAUGUGCAAGGAAUUCAGAACAUGCAGUGCAACAGAUGAAGCCAACGCGGACGAUGAUUAACUUCUCCGACCUUAUGGAGGAGCUUUGGAAGUUUGUCAGGGCGGAGAGUAGAAGUUUGCCAAAAUCAUGCUGCGCAUUCUUUGCGUGUAUCCAAAAUCAGGUCUUCCAUUUGUCCAACUCAAAGUGCAAGCGCUAUUUCCACAACCAUCUCAAGCCUGCCAAGCUUAUAUGGACUGCCAUGUACAUGAAGCAGCACAAGAACGUACAUGGAUAUUCGUGUUGA
RNAcentral lists this ribosomal RNA (477 nucleotides) under Triticum aestivum (bread wheat). Its description in RNAcentral is "partial small subunit ribosomal RNA". The record is from RNAcentral. Lineage: Eukaryota; Viridiplantae; Streptophyta; Magnoliopsida; Poales; Poaceae.